AUUGAACGCUGGCGGAAUGCUUUACACAUGCAAGUCGAACGGCAGCACGGGGGCAGCCCUGGUGGCGAGUGGCGCACGGGUGAGUAAUACAUCGGAACGUGCCCGGUCGUGGGGGAUAACGUAGCGUAAGUUACGCUAAUACCGCAUACGAUCUGAGGAUGAAAGCGGGGGACCUUCGGGCCUCGCGCCAUCGGAGCGGCCGAUGUCAGAUUAGGUAGUUGGUGGGGUAAAGGCCUACCAAGCCGACGAUCUGUAGCUGGUCUGAGAGGACGACCAGCCACACUGGGCCUGAGACCCGGCCCAGACUCCUACGGGAGGCAGCAGUGGGGAAUUUUGGACAAUGGGCGCAAGCCUGAUCCAGCCAUUCCGCGUGCAGGACGAAGGCCUUCGGGUUGUAAACUGCUUUUGUACGGAACGAAAAGGCUCUGGCUAAUACCUGGGGCUCAUGACGGUACCGUAAGAAUAAGCACCGGCUACCUACGU
This 483-nucleotide ribosomal RNA is filed under the name uncultured bacterium. RNAcentral describes it as "partial 16S ribosomal RNA". It matches the Rfam family "Bacterial small subunit ribosomal RNA", at positions 30 to 506 of the family's 1533-position model. The record is from RNAcentral.